Molecule: ribosomal RNA, 386 nt
Filed under: uncultured bacterium
Lineage: Bacteria
Description: bacterial SSU rRNA
Rfam family: Bacterial small subunit ribosomal RNA
Source: RNAcentral
GACGAACGCUGGCGGCGUGCUUAACACAUGCAAGUCGAGCGGUAAGGCCCUUUCGGGGGUACACGAGCGGCGAACGGGUGAGUAACACGUGGGUGACCUGCCCUCAGCUCUGGGAUAAGCCUGGGAAACCGGGUCUAAUACUGGAUAUGACUCCAUGACGCAUGUUGUGGGGUGGAAAGCCUUGUGCGGCUGAGGAUGGGCCCGCGGCCUAUCAGCUUGUUGGUGGGGUGAUGGCCUACCAAGGCGACGACGGGUAGCCGGCCUGAGAGGGCGACCGGCCACACUGGGACUGAGACACGGCCCAGACUCCUACGGGAGGCAGCAGUGGGGAAUCUUGCGCAAUGGGCCGAAAGCCUGACGCAGCGACGCCGCGUGAGGGAUGACGG